This 291-nucleotide ribosomal RNA is filed under the name Triticum aestivum (bread wheat). RNAcentral describes it as "partial small subunit ribosomal RNA". Lineage: Eukaryota; Viridiplantae; Streptophyta; Magnoliopsida; Poales; Poaceae. The record is from RNAcentral.
AUGAGCGGCAGAGCAGUCACUUAUCAGAAAUCCAUGCAUGCCCACGGUGAGAGCAGGGGCGGAGAAACCUUCACCUUGAGUUUCAGUACGACGGUGCCGCCCCUUUUCUUCUUAGACUUCCCCGGCCUAUUCCUUCAUCCUCCUCCUCUGCCACCGUCGUACUCGCCUCCUUCCUGGGAACAGGCAUACCUGAAGUGCAGAGGAGACGCAUCAUCAAGCAAUCGCAGACGAGUGUCAAGGCGAGGGGCAAACCGAGUGGACUCUGAAGAGCCAGAGAUGAUCCAAAAGUAA